This 253-nucleotide ribosomal RNA is filed under the name uncultured bacterium. Its description in RNAcentral is "partial 16S ribosomal RNA". It matches the Rfam family "Bacterial small subunit ribosomal RNA", at positions 524 to 776 of the family's 1533-position model. The record is from RNAcentral.
UACGAAGGGUGCAAGCGUUAUCCGGAUUCACUGGGUUUAAAGGGUGCGUAGGUGGGCUGGUAAGUCAGUGGUGAAAUCUCCGGGCUUAACUCGGAAACUGCCAUUGAUACUAUCAGUCUUGAAUACCGUGGAGGUCAGUAGAAUAUGUCAUGUAGCGGUGAAAUGCUUAGAUAUGACAUAGAAUACCAAUUGCGAAGGCAGCUGGCUACACGAAUAUUGACACUCAGGCACGAAAGCGUGGGGAUCAAACAGA